Molecule: ribosomal RNA, 463 nt
Filed under: uncultured bacterium
Lineage: Bacteria
Description: bacterial SSU rRNA
Rfam family: Bacterial small subunit ribosomal RNA
Source: RNAcentral
GACGAACGCUGGCGGCGUGCUUUCUUUUGCAAGUCGAACGAUGAAGUUCCUUCGGGAAUGGAUUAGUGGCGAACGGGUGAGGAACACGUGAGAAACCUGCCUUUCAUUCUGGGAUAACACCGGGAAACCGGUGCUAAUACCGGAUACUCCGUCUUGGCGGCAUCGCCGAGCCGGGAAAAAAUUUUGAUGAAAGAUGGUCUCGCGGCCUAUCAGCUAGUUGGUGAGGUAAUGGCUCACCAAGGCGACAACGGGUAGCCGGCCUGAGAGGGCGACCGGCCACACUGGGACUGAGACACGGCCCAAACUCCUACGGGAGGCAGCAGUAGGGAAUAUUGGGCAAUGGGCGCAAGCCUGACCCAGCGACGCCGCGUGAGGGAUGAAGGUCUUCGGAUUGUAAACCUCUUUCAGUAGGGAAGAAGCGAAAGUGACGGUACCUAAAGAAGAAGCACCGGCUAACUAUGUG